GUCAAAACAAGAUGCAAACGGGGUCAAGUACGGUAGAGGAACUAUAACAACAACAUCAACAAAUUAAAUAGGUCAUACUCCAGGAUCCACAACAGGUCUCACCGCCUGGUAAAUAUGACAAGGCGACUGAAUUAUCUCUUUUCGCCUGAAGGUCUUUUUCCCCCCUUUCCACCUGAGCAUGCCGCAAGAAAGUCAUCCUGUACGACCCUUUCUGCUCCUUUUCUCCCAAAGGGCUAUAGAACAACUACUUGAUAUUAUUCAGCAUUUCUUGGGUUUGUCUGUUUCCUCUGCAAGGGUCUUGGACAUAUCCUUGCUGGAUCUGUUGUAUUUCAUGUGGCUCUUGACCAGAUGGCCAGCGGCCUGCGCAGAGAUAAGGGACAGCUCCCCAGCUAGGACCGCACCCGCAACCACCGUGGCCAAGAGCCUCGCGUUGGACCCCGGAGAUUCCCUGUUGGCACCUUUGACGCCAAGCAGGUCCAAGCAGGCAGAUUGUGAGGCCAGCUGCGUGCCUCCACCAACUGUGCCAACCU
Molecule: unclassified non-coding RNA, 530 nt
Filed under: Zea mays
Lineage: Eukaryota; Viridiplantae; Streptophyta; Magnoliopsida; Poales; Poaceae
Description: misc RNA Zm00001eb316970
Source: RNAcentral